Long non-coding RNA from Piliocolobus tephrosceles (Ugandan red Colobus), 432 nucleotides. RefSeq lists it as uncharacterized. Lineage: Eukaryota; Metazoa; Chordata; Mammalia; Primates; Cercopithecidae. The transcript is spliced from 2 exons. The record is from RefSeq and is a predicted model, not a curated record.
UCUUACAGAUUCAGAAUCAAGUGGGAUGUCCUGGAAGAAAAACAAACAAACAAAAGCCCCACUAGGUGGAGUGAAAUGGAUCAGGAGCAAUUAUGUUCAAUUUUACCUUAAGUUUUCUCAAAAGGAGGAGCAUUAAGAAUCAGCCACCUUAGUACAUACUUAAAGAUUUACUAAGAUCUGAUCCUGUGCCUGCUGAUGGAACGUCAGAGGAAUGGGAUCCUGUAGGUGAAGAUCAUCAGCUUAUAAAAUCUGUUGCCAUCAAUGGGGGUGGCAGGGAAAGGAUGAAGAUUAGUUAAGGGGCCAGUGGACUCAGCAUUUAAAUGAAUCAUGAACUUGAAGCCAGAAGACUCAGUUUGUGUCCCAGCUCUCUCAAGCAAAGCCACCAAGUCCCAGUUUCCUCAUGUAUAAAAAAGAAUAAAAAUACUUAAUGGA